GCUUGAACUGCCAGUGAACGAUUCAGAGAUGAUGAGGCCCUUCGGGGCGCUGGUGAAGGUGCUGCAUGGUUGUCGUCAGCUCGUGCCGUGAGGUGUCGGCUUAAGUGCCAUAACGAGCGCAACCCCUUUCGUCAGUUGCCAUCAGGUAAUGCUGGGCACUCUGGCGACACUGCCACCGUAAGGUGUGAGGAAGGUGGGGAUGACGUCAAAUCAGCACGGCCCUUACGUCCGGGGCUACACACGUGUUACAAUGGUCGGUACAGAGGGAAGCCAGGCGGCGACGCCGAGCGGAUCUCGAAAGCCGGCCGUAGUUCGGAUCGGAGUCUGCAACUCGACUCCGUGAAGCUGGAUUCGCUAGUAAUCGCAUAUCAGCCAUGAUGCGGUGAAUACGUUCCCGGGCCUUGUACACACCGCCCGUCAAGCCAUGGGAGCCGAGGGUGCCUGAAGUACGUAACCGCGAGGAGCGUCCUAGGGUAAAAUUGGUGACUGGGGCU
This 494-nucleotide ribosomal RNA is filed under the name uncultured bacterium. RNAcentral describes it as "bacterial SSU rRNA". It matches the Rfam family "Bacterial small subunit ribosomal RNA", at positions 979 to 1482 of the family's 1533-position model. The record is from RNAcentral.